CCUACGGGAGGCAGCAGUGGGGGAUAUUGCACAAUGGGGGGAACCCUGAUGCAGCGACGCCGCGUGGGUGAAGGAGUGCUUCGGCUUGUAAAGCCCUAUCGGCAGGGAAGAAGCAAGACGGUACCUUACUAAGAAGCCCCGGCUAACUACGUGCCAGCAGCCGCGGUAAGACGUAGGCGGCAAGCGUUGUCCGGAUUUACUGGGUGUAAAGGGCGUGUAGCCGGGUUGACAAGUCAGAUGUGAAAUCCUGCGGCUUAACCGCAGAACUGCAUUUGAAACUGUUGAUCUUGAGUACUGGAGAGGCAGAUAGAAUUCCUAGUGUAGCGGUGAAAUGCGUAGAUAUCACGAAGAACUCCGAUUGCGAAGGCAGCUCACUGGACUGCAACUGACACUGAGGCUCGAAAGUGUGGGUAUCAAACAGGAUUAGAUACCCCUGUAGUC
This 441-nucleotide ribosomal RNA is filed under the name uncultured bacterium. Its description in RNAcentral is "partial 16S ribosomal RNA". It matches the Rfam family "Bacterial small subunit ribosomal RNA", at positions 338 to 795 of the family's 1533-position model. The record is from RNAcentral.